RNAcentral lists this ribosomal RNA (427 nucleotides) under uncultured bacterium. Its description in RNAcentral is "partial 16S ribosomal RNA". It matches the Rfam family "Bacterial small subunit ribosomal RNA", at positions 355 to 774 of the family's 1533-position model. The record is from RNAcentral.
UGGGGAAUAUUGCACAAUGGGCGCAAGCCUGAUGCAGCCAUGCCGCGUGUAUGAAGAAGGCCUUCGGGUUGUAAAGUACUUUCAGCGAGGAGGAAGGCGUUGUGGUUAAUAACCGCAACGAUUGACGUUACUCGCAGAAGAAGCACCGGCUAACUCCGUGCCAGCAGCCGCGGUAAUACGGAGGGUGCAAGCGUUAAUCGGAAUUACUGGGCGUAAAGCGCACGCAGGCGGUCUGUCAAGUCGGAUGUGAAAGCCCCGGGCUCAACCUGGGAACUGCAUCCGGAACUGGCAGGCUAGAGUCUUGUAGAGGGGGGUAGAAUUCCAGGUGUAGCGGUGAAAUGCGUAGAGAUCUGGAGGAAUACCGGUGGCGAAGGCGGCCCCCUGGACAAAGACUGACGCUCAGGUGCGAAAGCGUGGGGAGCAAACA